CCUACGGGAGGCUGCAGUGGGGAAUAUUGCACAAUGGGGGAAACCCUGAUGCAGCGACGCCGCGUGAAGGAAGACGUAUUUCGGUAUGUAAACUUCUAUCAGCAAGGAAGAUAAUGACGGUACUUGACUAAGAAGCCCCGGCUAACUACGUGCCAGCAGCCGCGGUAAUACGUAGGGGGCAAGCGUUAUCCGGAUUUACUGGGUGUAAAGGGAGCGUAGGCGGCCAUGCAAGUCAGAAGUGAAAGCCCGGGGCUCAACCCCGGGACUGCUUUUGAAACUGCAAGGCUAGAUUACCGGAGAGGUAAGUGGAAUUCCUAGUGUAGCGGUGAAAUGCGUAGAUAUUAGGAGGAACACCAGUGGCGAAGGCGACUUACUGGACGGUUAAUGACGCUGAGGCUCGAAAGCGUGGGGAGCAAACAGGAUUAGAUACCCUGGUAGUC
RNAcentral lists this ribosomal RNA (440 nucleotides) under uncultured Coprococcus sp. RNAcentral's name for it is "bacterial SSU rRNA". It matches the Rfam family "Bacterial small subunit ribosomal RNA", at positions 338 to 795 of the family's 1533-position model. Lineage: Bacteria; Bacillati; Bacillota; Clostridia; Lachnospirales; Lachnospiraceae. The record is from RNAcentral.